UUUAGGUCGAUCCAGUCUGAGAGUCACAGUCCGGGCUCCUCCACAAAUCAUGGAGUCAACCAGGAUGAAACUCAUGUGUACGACUCUCUUCAACAUGGUACUGCUGACGUCUAUGAAUCAGUCACACAAGUGAAAAACAGAAAUGGUUCAGAUGAAUACGAUGACAUCACCUCCUCUCUUAUUGAGUUUAAAGAUCUUAGAACUAAGAAUACAGAGUCUGUCUGCACCUUCUAAACAAAUCCUAUAAGGUGGGACAGGCAUGAGGGGCAGCCAGUGACCCCUCACACACGUCCUUAUGCUGAUAUCCAGGCAGAUUCUCAGUGUUUGUAGCUGCUGAUUUAUGCAGCAAACAUUUCCACAGUCCUCUGCAGCAGAUUAUAGAAACACUUCUUUUCUCAGCUCACGACAGAAGAUCUACAGCUGGGACACUGUUAAGUGGUUCUAUGUGAAAAAUAGUUAAAUAUUAACUCAAACAUGUUCUUGUAUGUAAAACAGGUUCAAAUGCAUGAAAUUAUAUUUGUCCUUUAUAGUGGACAUUAAAAAACACCACAUGUAUGAACGAUAGUUUACAUCUUAGAGCCCUGCUCUCAAACACUGACUCAGAUGUAACUGUCUGUGAAACCAGAUUUAAGAAAUAAGAACUUAAAGUUCA
Molecule: long non-coding RNA, 652 nt
Organism: Oreochromis aureus
Lineage: Eukaryota; Metazoa; Chordata; Actinopteri; Cichliformes; Cichlidae
Source: Ensembl